GAUGAACGCUGGCGGCGUGCCUAAUACAUGCAAGUCGAGCGAACAGACGAGGAGCUUGCUCCUUUGACGUUAGCGGCGGACGGGUGAGUAACACGUGGGUAACCUACCUAUAAGACUGGGAUAACUUCGGGAAACCGGAGCUAAUACCGGAUAAUAUUUCGAACCGCAUGGUUCGAUAGUGAAAGAUGGCUCUGCUAUCACUUAUAGAUGGACCUGCGCCGUAUUAGCUAGUUGGUAAGGUAACGGCUUACCAAGGCAACGAUACGUAGCCGACCUGAGAGGGUGAUCGGCCACACUGGAACUGAGACACGGUCCAGACUCCUACGGGAGGCAGCAGUAGGGAAUCUUCCGCAAUGGGCGAAAGCCUGACGGAGCAACGCCGCGGGAGUGAUGAAGGUCUUCGGAUCGUAAAACGCUGUUAUUAGGGAAGAACAAACGUGUAAGUAACUGUGCACGUCUUGACGGUACCUAAUCAGAAAGCCACGGCUAACUACGU
Molecule: ribosomal RNA, 496 nt
Filed under: uncultured bacterium
Lineage: Bacteria
Description: partial 16S ribosomal RNA
Rfam family: Bacterial small subunit ribosomal RNA
Source: RNAcentral